UGGCAGCGGUCCGGCAACCGGAUCGUCUUCCCGGGACGCCGCGACGAAACGAACGGUGUCGCCGGGCCGGAGCUGGCCGGUUUUCCAGAGCUCGUCGCGUGCCACCACGGCUGGACAAACGAAAAACGAUCAACUCCGUUCUCGAAAGAAAAUAUCUCGCGAUCGAACUGAACGACGUCAAGAACGGAUUGCUCCCUGAGGGGGCCAGCCAGGACUUGAUCGGCGCUCUUCAAGCAACA
RNAcentral lists this unclassified non-coding RNA (239 nucleotides) under Hevea brasiliensis (rubber tree). Lineage: Eukaryota; Viridiplantae; Streptophyta; Magnoliopsida; Malpighiales; Euphorbiaceae. The record is from RNAcentral.